Long non-coding RNA from Neopelma chrysocephalum (saffron-crested tyrant-manakin), 464 nucleotides. RefSeq lists it as uncharacterized. The record is from RefSeq and is a predicted model, not a curated record. NCBI's taxonomy places the organism in Eukaryota, Metazoa, Chordata, Aves, Passeriformes, Pipridae. The transcript is spliced from 3 exons.
CAUCAGAAGCCACAUUGUGAGAAUGUGGCACUCUGGGGAAAUCCUGGUCUGUCUGGACAAAACAUGGUCAGAGCAGGCUGAUAGCUGGGAGCUGCGGAGCAUGUGAUGCAUCUUCCAUAUAGGGGCAGGAGCAAACCAAGACCAACUGAUGGACGCCCUAGGGCCAGACUUGCAGACAAUAUAUAACCUACUGCAUGAUCUAAAACGCUUCCCACUUCCACAGAGCGAACAUCAGGCAGAGCGGAGCCGCAGCGAGGGAAGAGGAGUCCUGCGUGCAGAGCUUGGGAGGAGCAUCCUUCGGAUCUGGGGAGAAAAGGGACCGACCCCAUUUCCGAUGUGCCGUAAGGAGCAAGCACAAGCCCGGAUGGAGCGAUCCGCGGACGGGGCAGGGAUUGCGGAGGCAUCCCAUAGCUCUGCGGCACAGGCUCCUCUCUGGCGUCCAGGGUGACUUCCUGGGCACAACC